UACAGAGGGGGCAAGCGUUGUUCGGAAUUACUGGGCGUAAAGGGCGCGUAGGCGGCCUGCUAAGUCGAACGUGAAAUCCCCGGGCUCAACCCGGGAACUGCGUCCGAUACUGGUUGGCUUGAAUCCGGGAGAGGGAUGCGGAAUUCCAGGUGUAGCGGUGAAAUGCGUAGAUAUCUGGAGGAACACCGGUGGCGAAGGCGGGUCUCUGGGCCGAUACUGACGCUGAGGAGCGAAAGCGUGGGGAGCGAACAGG
Molecule: ribosomal RNA, 253 nt
Filed under: uncultured bacterium
Lineage: Bacteria
Description: partial 16S ribosomal RNA
Rfam family: Bacterial small subunit ribosomal RNA
Source: RNAcentral